AGGAGGCUAGAACCAGCCUGGCACCCCCCUCCUGCCCCCCCCAUCUGCCAGCUGUGGGCCUCCAUCCUCAAAGCUGAGGGUUCACUUGCUGGACCCAGCUGGGGAGUGAGUCGGCCUGGGUGCUGGAGGGCCGAAGCUCUGUGACAGCCACCGUGCCUGCCCAGAGGAGGGGGAUGCCUACUGUACUGUCAAUUUGGGGUUAAGGUCACUUCAACCCAAAGCUGCUGGGCGAUAGGAGCCCAGCUUUGCCAGAAGGCAAUGAAGGCUGGGCUGUUAGCAACACAUAAGUUUCCAAGGCCUGUGAUGCCUAAUCGCAGGGGUGCAGCGUGGCACGUACAGCACAGCUGGGCAGGAGAGGGCCAGGCAGGACAUGGUUCAACAUGGUGGACGUACGUCAACCACGGAAGGAGGUGGGCAGCAAAGAGAGAUGGUGCUGGGCCCCCAGCCCCACCCCGCCCAGCUCGGCCUUCCCUCCGAUCCACCCCCUACAAAGCAGCUGGACCCUGGCCGGACCAAGGAGAGGCUCAUAGCUGGCACCCAGGAGUAUAUCCUCCACAGAGGUACCCGACGCCCCGGGCAAGGACACACAUGCGGAGCCAGAGCGAGCCUCCCACCUCCACAGGCACGAGGGGCCGCGAUGGAACCAGCCCUCUGUGCAGAAAGUUCUGUACUCAACCCCAUCUGGGCUUCCUGCUGCAACCUCCGGGGUCCUGGAGAGGUGGGUGACCCUGCACACGGAACCAGGGAAGGCAGGGGGCAAGGUCAGUCUGCGCAAGGAGCCAGCAGCAGACCCCAGCUCGGUGCGCUGCUUGCUGUGUGUGUCUGCAUGCGUACGAUGACAGUGGCAGCUGGUAGCCACAACGCGUCAGCAGCUUCCAAUGGAGCCAAAGGACUGUGUCUACACUGCAGGGUCAGGCUGAGCCGAUAGGGUCAAGAUUCAAGCUGGCCCUGUCAGCAGCCCCUGCGCCCACCCCCAUGUUUCCUGGCUCUGUCAAGACAAAAUAAAACCAACCAACCAACCAACAAAAAGUCCCCAAGUGGUGCAGACUCUGUCUUGUGGACUUUACCUCUGGCCGGGCCUACUGAAGGCAGGGACCCUGCACCUCUGCUCAGCUCACAUGCACCUGGAAGUGAGCACGGAGCUCCCCCCAUCUCUGGCCUCGACAUGAGGGGCCACACGAGUGUUAAGGGUCUGUGUGCCCAGACCCACACCAGACCCCAGGAGGGAGCAAAGAGUCUCGGCUGAGAGGACACUAAGGGAGCACAAUGAUAUGGUUAGAAGAACCGGCCUCGGGCUUCUUCACAGCGCAACACAGACACAACCGUUUGUACGACACUUGGGAGUACAGGAGCAGGGGCCCCCGGCCAUCCUGCGCUGGCCCUGUCACCUUCAACCUGAAGGGAUCACCAUCUUGAUCCACAUAACCCACGGAAACCUCUGAGUCAGAGCAAGCGUUCUGGAGCAAGCCAGUCCCCGGUUCCAAGGCCAGCACCGUCACUUGGUGGUGAUAAGAUCUCGGGCAAGUUCCUUGUUCAGCAUCUACAGAAUACAGAGCACAACACCUACCUUCCGAGGCUGGGCCAAGGAUGAAGUAAUGACCCACGCAGAGCACCUACCGGCACACGUCUGGGGGAAAGCAGAGGCUGGAGCACCAGCUGGCAGCUACUGACCUGGGCCACAGCGAGGGACUGCCCGGGAGCCCAAGAUAAAGACCUGGUGCCUCUAGGCCGGGAUGUGCACUUGACAAAAUGACUGAAUUGUCUAAUUAAAGGAUCUGUGGAACUCA
Long non-coding RNA from Canis lupus familiaris (dog), 1787 nucleotides. RefSeq lists it as uncharacterized. NCBI's taxonomy places the organism in Eukaryota, Metazoa, Chordata, Mammalia, Carnivora, Canidae. The record is from RefSeq and is a predicted model, not a curated record. The transcript is spliced from 2 exons.